This 253-nucleotide ribosomal RNA is filed under the name uncultured bacterium. Its description in RNAcentral is "partial 16S ribosomal RNA". It matches the Rfam family "Bacterial small subunit ribosomal RNA", at positions 524 to 776 of the family's 1533-position model. The record is from RNAcentral.
UACGUAGGAGGCAAGCGUUGUCCGGAAUUACUGGGCGUAAAGCGCGUGUAGGUGGUGGGCCAAGUCUGCUGUGAAAGCGCCUGGCUUAACCGGGCGAGGUCGGUGGAAACCCCUGGUCUAGAGGCCGGUAGAGGGGGGUGGAAUUCCGGGUGUAGUGGUGAAAUGCGUAGAGAUCCGGAGGAACACCCGUGGCGAAGGCGGCCCCCUGGGCCGCGCCUGACGCUGAGACGCGAAAGCGCGGGGAGCGAACGGG